RNAcentral lists this ribosomal RNA (242 nucleotides) under uncultured bacterium. Its description in RNAcentral is "partial 16S ribosomal RNA". It matches the Rfam family "Bacterial small subunit ribosomal RNA", at positions 535 to 776 of the family's 1533-position model. The record is from RNAcentral.
CAAGCGUUGUUCGGAUUCAUUGGGCGUAAAGGGUGCGUAGGCGGCGCGGUAAGUCGGGUGUGAAAUCUCGGAGCUUAACUCCGAAACUGCAUUCGAUACUGCCGUGCUUGAGGACUGGAGAGGAGACUGGAAUUUACGGUGUAGCGGUGAAAUGCGUAGAUAUCGUAAGGAAGACCAGUGGCGAAGGCGGGUCUCUGGACAGUUCCUGACGCUGAGGCACGAAGGUCAGGGGAGCAAACGGG